This 396-nucleotide ribosomal RNA is filed under the name uncultured bacterium. Its description in RNAcentral is "bacterial SSU rRNA". It matches the Rfam family "Bacterial small subunit ribosomal RNA", at positions 28 to 429 of the family's 1533-position model. The record is from RNAcentral.
GACGAACGCUGGCGGCGUGCUUAACACAUGCAAGUCGAGCGGUAAGGCCCUUUCGGGGGUACACGAGCGGCGAACGGGUGAGUAACACGUGGGUGACCUGCCCUCAGCUCUGGGAUAAGCCUGGGAAACCGGGUCUAAUACUGGAUAUGACUCCAUGACGCAUGUUGUGGGGUGGAAAGCCUUGUGCGGCUGAGGAUGGGCCCGCGGCCUAUCAGCUUGUUGGUGGGGUGANGGCCUACCAAGGCGACGACGGGUAGCCGGCCUGAGAGGGCGACCGGCCACACUGGGACUGAGACACGGCCCAGACUCCUACGGGAGGCAGCAGCGGGGAAUCUUGCGCAAUGGGCGAAAGCCUGACGCAGCGACGCCGCGUGAGGGAUGACGGCCUGGUGUAAC